This is a long non-coding RNA of Glossina fuscipes, 1371 nucleotides long. RefSeq lists it as uncharacterized. The transcript has 3 exons. The record is from RefSeq and is a predicted model, not a curated record. Lineage: Eukaryota; Metazoa; Arthropoda; Insecta; Diptera; Glossinidae.
GCAUAAAUGCAUAAGUUCCGUCGAAAAUUGGAAAAAAACUUAAUGGCACUGAUCGUUAAAGUUUUAAGGCAUUACGCAUCUCGUCAAAAUUAAACAAUUACAAAUCUGGACUUGCCAAAAAGGAAUUCUCAUACCGUGAAUAUAGAGUAAAGGGCAACUUGGCUUAAAAAAUCAAUUUCUAAUACCAAGCCUGUAAUGAAUCUAUUACAGGUGAUGGGCUUGAUUAGUUGUGAAGACUUAAAAUGCUUGACGCCUCCAUGCAACGCCUAUGUAGGGAUAUAUCAACAAUAGGGAAUUUUAAUCUUUCGAAAACUGAUUGCCGUUGUGAUUGAGGACGUUAAUCGAUUACUCCUCUAGAGUUUCCAAGUUCCAGAUUGGACAAUGUUGCUUGUUUACGUACCAAGCACACGAACAGCGAAUAUCCUGUGAUCCGUAUCCGAUUCUUCCAAUUUUUGCUUGCCAAUUGUUACCGUCUUAACAGUUAGAUGUUAGAUGACGGCCGUAUACGUGCGGUUAAACAUCUGUGAUAUAAAUAUUGAACAGUGUAUUAAGCAGUUGGCAAGGAGGGUUAAUGCUUUUUUUCAGAGAAAAACCUUGACUGGGCAAGUUAAUUUCUAAUGAAUAGGCAUCAUAAAGCUUUAAAGUAACUAUAAUAUAGCGUAACUUACUUACUAACACUCACUCGAGUGGAUAUAUAUCACACUUGAAUAAAUCGCGAUCAACGCCUUUAUGCACAUCGCGCAUGUGGAUUCAAUGUUCCCCUUGAUUAGAAAACUUUCUAUUUUUACAGCGACGACAUGGAAUCGUCGCAUGAAUCGUAUCACGAUGUCUCUUGAAGUGUUCAUCUGUGCAAAAGCGUGCUUCGCAGUAGCGGGAAAAAAAAGCGCCAAGAGAUUCAUGCCUUUCACCAUGUUUCAUACAUGAGAUGUAUGCCUUUUCACAUUUAGCGACUUCAGAGCUUUGUUGCAAAUGGGACAGAAAAGUUUUGAGACACCAUCAUCAGUGGAGAGUUUCAGGUUGAUUUUCAGAGACGGUGCAUCCUUUGGUAAGUGUGGAAUCGCCUCGCAAAAUAGAAUUUAAAACGAGUUCUCACAAUUGACAAAGGAUUUCCUCGACUGUCCUUACAUCCCAAAGGUGAACGGAGAAAUGUAUUUUUUUAAUAACUGCUUACUAAUUUUCGAGAAAAUAGUAAAAAAUAUUUUAUUCAAACAUCGUUUCCAACCUAUGCUGACUUUUUCGGGCCAAAAGGCUCCCUACAUCCAAAGUUUUAGUAUCAAUAUGGCGUAAGAACCCGUCUGAAAGUCUUGCAGCGUAACAAGUUGUUACCACUUUCGACUAAACUUUUUAAAAAACUACACGAAAAACUGGUGU